GGAGCGGUAGCUCAGUUCGGUUAGAGCGCCAGCCUGUCACGCUGGAGGUCGCGGGUUCGAGCCCCGUCCGCUUCGCCA
RNAcentral lists this transfer RNA (78 nucleotides) under Escherichia coli. Its description in RNAcentral is "tRNA-Asp". It matches the Rfam family "tRNA". From Rfam's summary of the family: Transfer RNA (tRNA) molecules are approximately 80 nucleotides in length. The record is from RNAcentral. RNAcentral also lists the same sequence under 88 other names. Lineage: Bacteria; Pseudomonadati; Pseudomonadota; Gammaproteobacteria; Enterobacterales; Enterobacteriaceae.